AACGCGUAGGAAUCUACCUAGUAGAAGGGGAUAGCCCGGGGAAACUCGGAUUAAUACCGUAUACCUCCUUCGGGAGAAAGAAGGCCUCUCUUUGAAGCUUUCGCUAUUAGAUGAGCCUGCGUAAGAUUAGCUUGUUGGUGAGGUAAAGGCUCACCAAGGCGACGAUCUUUAGCGGGUCUGAGAGGACGAUCCGCCACACUGGGACUGAGACACGGCCCAGACUCCUACGGGAGGCUGCAGCAGGGAAUAUUGUGCAAUGAGCGAAAGCUUGACACAGCGACACCGCGUGUGGGAUGACGGUUCUAGGAUUGUAAACCACUUUCAGGAGGGAAGAAAAUGACGGUACCUCCACAAGAAGACCCGGCCAACUAUGUGCCAGCAGCCGCGGUAAUACAUAGGGGUCAAGCGUUGUCCGGAUUUAUUGGGCGUAAAGAGCUCGUAGGCGGUUCAACAAGUCGGUCGUAAAAGUUUAGGGCUCAACCCUAAAAUGUCGAUCGAUACUGUUGUGACUAGGAUACGGUAGAGGUGAAUGGAAUUCCGAGUGUAGCGGUGAAAUGCGUAGAUAUUCGGAGGAACACCAAUUGCGAAGGCAGCUUUCUGGAUCAUUACUGACACUGAGGAACGAAAGCAUGGGUAGCGAAGAGGAUUAGAUACCCUCGUAGUCCAUGCCGUAAACGAUGUGUGUUAGACGUUGGAAAUUUAUUUUCAGUGUCGCAGCGAAAGCGAUAAACACACCGCCUGGGGAGUA
This 748-nucleotide ribosomal RNA is filed under the name uncultured bacterium. RNAcentral describes it as "bacterial SSU rRNA". It matches the Rfam family "Bacterial small subunit ribosomal RNA", at positions 112 to 882 of the family's 1533-position model. The record is from RNAcentral.